Molecule: ribosomal RNA, 258 nt
Filed under: Ochromonas sp. CCMP1393
Lineage: Eukaryota; Chrysophyceae; Chromulinales; Chromulinaceae
Description: partial Bacterial large subunit ribosomal RNA
Rfam family: Bacterial large subunit ribosomal RNA
Source: RNAcentral
CUGAAAAUUAAGAUGGCUAAACUAGAUACAGAAACUUAGGCCGCAAUAAGCGGGGUAGAGGAUUUUGUUCUGUAAUAAUAACAUAUCGUAAGAAUAACAGAAGUAAUAAUGCAGUUAUGAGUAACUAUAAAAGCUUUGAAAUAAAGCUUCUCCGAAAGCCCAAGGUCUGUGCGAUCAAUAUGAUAAUCAAAAGCAUGUAAGGCAGUGCCUAAGCUAACAUCGAAGGGUGAAUGCGAUGGCUAAUUGAUUCUAUUCAGA